CAAGGAAUUUUCGGCAAUGGGGGCAACCCUGACCGAGCAACGCCGCGUGGAGGAUGACGGCCUUCGGGUUGUAAACUCCUUUUACGGGGACGACAUCGACUGUACCCCGCGAAUCAGGCUCGGCUAACUCUGUGCCAGCAGCCGCGGUAAGACAGAGGAGCCAAGCGUUGUCCGGAUUGACUGGGCGUAAAGCGCACGCAGGCGGCUGUGCACGUGGGGUGUGAAAGCUGGCGGCUUAACUGCCAGAUGCCACCUCAUACGGCACGGCUCGAGCCCGUGAGAGGUCCACGGAAUUGCCGGUGUAGUGGUGAAAUGCGUAGAGAUCGGCAGGAACACCCAGGGGGAAACCAGUGGACUGGCACGGUGCUGACGCUCAGGUGCGAAAGCGUGGGGAGCGAACCGGAUUAGAUACCCGGGUAGUCCACGCCGUAAACGAUGAAUACUCGGCAUCUGGUGGGCGAUCUUCGUCCGCCGGGUGCCCCAGCUAACGCGGUAAGUAUUCCGCCUGGGAACUACGA
Molecule: ribosomal RNA, 518 nt
Filed under: uncultured bacterium
Lineage: Bacteria
Description: bacterial SSU rRNA
Rfam family: Bacterial small subunit ribosomal RNA
Source: RNAcentral